This 197-nucleotide non-coding RNA is filed under the name Candidatus Zhuqueibacterota. RNAcentral describes it as "Candidate division GlcN6P sequence". It matches the Rfam family "glmS glucosamine-6-phosphate activated ribozyme aptamer". From Rfam's summary of the family: This entry contains a glucosamine-6-phosphate activated ribozyme that is found in the mRNA for GlmS. GlmS is an enzyme that uses fructose-6-phosphate and glutamine to generate glucosamine-6-phosphate. The record is from RNAcentral. Lineage: Bacteria; Pseudomonadati.
UUCUCCAAACGAGCGCUUGGCCCUUUAAGCUAGUUUAAAGGGAAACGAGGAGGAAGGUCCCUAAUUUUAGGGAAAUCGGACUUUUAGCACUUGCUAAAAAGUAUCAGCGGAAACCUUCAGGUUGUAACUGUCAACCUAAAAGAUUCUUUUAAAACCUUUGAGUAAUCAAAAGACUAAAGAUUAAUCUACACAGCCAA